CCCUGCUGGGCUAAUCUCUCGGCCUCUUCAACGUGGCGCUUCUGAGAAAAGGUGGACCAUUUUUCCCAAGCCAAAGACUCCGACGUGAACCUCCCAAAAGAGACAGACUCUCCAAGAGCAUGCAUAGGAUUCCCCUGUAACACAAACAUUGGAAUGUAAGAUUUCUGCUAAGCCCAAUUCUAACAAAAAUCAUUAAUUUCCAAGAAAGUCUUGUCUAUAAGCAAGAACUAGGAAGUUACCCUUUUUCUUUAAGAGUAUAUAUCAAAAACAAAUUUCACUAACCUGGUUGGCUUCAUUGGAAAUGACAGAAGCAUAAGAAAAAGCAGGCAUAAUACAAAGUGAUUCUCCCAUUUCUUAGCCAGGGAACUAAGAACAGAGGAGUAGAAGAAGAAGCAGCAGCAGCAGCAACUGUGGAAAAUCUGAAUACUGAACAGGCGUUACUAUUUCCCUUGUGUUUUAUAUUUAUGGCAUACUUUAUAGCAUUUGAAAUUCAAAUUUAAAGGCUCUGUUAUGCAUGCUUUAUGGAAAAGAGGAGUGUGGUGGGCUUACUUGCAAUAUUUGGAAGAAGUUGUCCAGUCUUUUUCAGCUUGGGGUGGGUCCCACUUGUCUGUAAAGUAGUCACCCUCUUUUAACGUUCUUGUUUCAAAUAAUCUGACCAUAAAACUUGUUUAAUUUGAUUCCAAAGAGGCUUUACCGUUAUUCCAAAAAUUUAGACCCUUUUUUUAAAAAAAAUAAAUAAUUGAAACAUUAAAAAGUUUUGCGCCUAUUGCUCCAAAGGUUAGAUAUUCAUAAACCCGUUGUUAAAACUUUCUUAACUUGAGGAUCGAAGAAAACA
This 835-nucleotide long non-coding RNA is filed under the name Panax ginseng (ginseng). Its description in RNAcentral is "long non-coding RNA (PGIN_LNC008060)". The record is from RNAcentral. Lineage: Eukaryota; Viridiplantae; Streptophyta; Magnoliopsida; Apiales; Araliaceae.